GUGAUGUUGUGAUGGAAGUUGAUUUUGAGCAACUUAUUGUUUCUUAGUCACAUGUGAAAAUGAUGAUGGAGAGCAAGGUUGUGUUUGUUAUGGAUGGAUGAAAGUGAGGUGAAGGAGAAGGGAAAAUGAAGAUGGUUUGGAGUUUGUGAGUUUUAAUGGAAGGAGUAUGUUGUUUAGAUGUGGUUAUCUGACGAAGAAGAAAA
RNAcentral lists this long non-coding RNA (203 nucleotides) under Lathyrus oleraceus (garden pea). RNAcentral's name for it is "Pisum sativum (pea) long non-coding RNA (PSAT_LNC031075)". The record is from RNAcentral. Lineage: Eukaryota; Viridiplantae; Streptophyta; Magnoliopsida; Fabales; Fabaceae.